RNAcentral lists this ribosomal RNA (426 nucleotides) under uncultured bacterium. Its description in RNAcentral is "bacterial SSU rRNA". It matches the Rfam family "Bacterial small subunit ribosomal RNA", at positions 355 to 774 of the family's 1533-position model. The record is from RNAcentral.
UGGGGAAUUUCGGACAAUGGGCGCAAGCCUGAUCCAGCAAUGCCGCGUGCAGGAUGAAGGCCUUCGGGUUGUAACUGCUUUUGUACGGAACGAAAAGCUUCUGGUUAAUACCUGGGAGUCAUGACGGUACCGUAAGAAUAAGCACCGGCUAACUACGUGCCAGCAGCCGCGGUAAUACGUAGGGUGCAAGCGUUAAUCGGAAUUACUGGGCGUAAAGCGUGCGCAGGCGGUGAUGUAAGACGGGUGUGAAAUCCCCGGGCUUAACCUGGGAAUUGCAUUUGUGACUGCAUCGCUGGAGUGCGGCAGAGGGGGAUGGAAUUCCGCGUGUAGCAGUGAAAUGCGUAGAUAUGCGGAGGAACACCGAUGGCGAAGGCAAUCCCCUGGGCCUGCACUGACGCUCAUGCACGAAAGCGUGGGGAGCAAACA